CGUGGCAAUUUUUUUACAGUUUACUCAGGCCGGUUUAACGUUUUUUUAUUUCUUAAGUUCUUUUUUUGCCUUUUUCAUUAAUUUUAUUUUUCUUUUUUCAUAGGGAGCUCUGAUCAACGAAUUCUUAAACCGUUCUUCCGGACAAUUGAAAGCUUUUGCUUUCUCUUAUCACUCGUUUGGUAAAUGGUUGGAAGGAUUUAAACAUGCAAGAACAAUCAUCUUCUCGGGAAUUGUGGCCACGAACCAAAACCAUCAAUCGGCACAUUAGUUGUCGCUUGCACAACAAGUAUUAUCGUAAUAAUUCAAGCAUAAUGUAUUACAUUACAUAUUACAUUAAAAUAAAAAAGUCAAUUGA
This is a long non-coding RNA of Daphnia carinata, 355 nucleotides long. RefSeq lists it as uncharacterized. NCBI's taxonomy places the organism in Eukaryota, Metazoa, Arthropoda, Branchiopoda, Diplostraca, Daphniidae. The record is from RefSeq and is a predicted model, not a curated record. The transcript is spliced from 2 exons.